GGGGAUUUAGCUCAGUGGUAGAGCACUUGCCUAGCAAGAGCAAGCCCUAGCAAGGCCCUGGGUUCGGUCCCCAGCUCCG
Molecule: transfer RNA, 79 nt
Filed under: Rattus norvegicus (Norway rat)
Lineage: Eukaryota; Metazoa; Chordata; Mammalia; Rodentia; Muridae
Rfam family: tRNA
About the family: Transfer RNA (tRNA) molecules are approximately 80 nucleotides in length. Their secondary structure includes four short double-helical elements and three loops (D, anti-codon, and T loops). Further hydrogen bonds mediate the characteristic L-shaped molecular structure. tRNAs have two regions of fundamental functional importance: the anti-codon, which is responsible for specific mRNA codon recognition, and the 3' end, to which the tRNAs corresponding amino acid is attached (by aminoacyl-tRNA synthetases). tRNAs cope with the degeneracy of the genetic code in two manners: having more than one tRNA (with a specific anti-codon) for a particular amino acid; and 'wobble' base-pairing, i.e. permitting non-standard base-pairing at the 3rd anti-codon position.
Source: Rfam by way of RNAcentral